Molecule: unclassified non-coding RNA, 253 nt
Filed under: uncultured Dehalococcoidia bacterium
Lineage: Bacteria; Bacillati; Chloroflexota; Dehalococcoidia
Description: contains 16S-23S intergenic spacer region
Rfam family: Bacterial small subunit ribosomal RNA
Source: RNAcentral
UACGUAGGAGGCUAGCGUUGUCCGGAUUUACUGGGCGUAAAGGGAGCGCAGGUGGCCAAGUUCGUCGGUGGUGCAAGCUCCAGGCUUAACUUGGAGAGGUCUGCCGAUACUGCUUGGCUUGAGGACGGUAGAGGAGCACGGAAUUCCUGGUGUAGUGGUGAAAUGCGUAGAUAUCAGGAGGAACACCGGUGGCGAAAGCGGUGCUCUGGGCCGUUCCUGACACUCAGGUGCGAAAGCGUGGGGAGCAAACAGG